UCCUACGGGAGGCAGCAGUGGGGAAUAUUGCACAAUGGGCGAAAGCCUGAUGCAGCAACGCCGCGUGAGUGAUGACGGUCUUCGGAUUGUAAAGCUCUGUCUUUUGGGACGAUAAUGACGGUACCAAAGGAGGAAGCCACGGCUAACUACGUGCCAGCAGCCGCGGUAAUACGUAGGUGGCAAGCGUUGUCCGGAUUUACUGGGCGUAAAGGAUGUGUAGGCGGAUACUUAAGUGAGAUGUGAAAGCCCCGGGCUUAACCUGGGGACUGCAUUUCAAACUGGGUGUCUAGAGUGCAGGAGAGGAAAGCGGAAUUCCUAGUGUAGCGGUGAAAUGCGUAGAGAUUAGGAAGAACAUCAGUGGCGAAGGCGGCUUUCUGGACUGUAACUGACGCUGAGGCAUGAAAGCGUGGGGAGCAAACAGGAUUAGAUACCCUGGUAGUCCACGCCGUAAACGAUGAGUACUAGGUGUAGGAGGUAUCGACUCCUUCUGUGCCGCAGUUAACACAAUAAGUACUCCGCCUGGGAAGUACGGUCGCAAGAUUAAAACUCAAAUGAAUUGACGGAAC
RNAcentral lists this ribosomal RNA (566 nucleotides) under uncultured bacterium. RNAcentral's name for it is "bacterial SSU rRNA". It matches the Rfam family "Bacterial small subunit ribosomal RNA", at positions 337 to 919 of the family's 1533-position model. The record is from RNAcentral.